CGCAAGCCUGACGGAGCAACGCCGCGUGUGGGAAGAGGGCUCUUGGGCUGUCAACCACUUUUCUCAGGGAAGAAGCCCUGACGGUACCUGAGGAAUCAGCCUCGGCUAACUCCGUGCCAGCAGCCGCGGUAAUACGGAGGAGGCAAGCGUUAUCCGGAAUUAUUGGGCGUAAAGCGUCCGCAGGGGGCACAUCAAGUCUGCUGUUAAAGGCUGGAGCUUAAUUCCGGUAGAGCAGUGGAAACUGGUGUGCUAGAGGGCGACAGGGGUAGAGGGAAUUCCCAGUGCAGCGGUGAAAUGCGUAGAGAUUGGGAAGAACACCGGUGGCGAAAGCGCUCUACUGGGUCGCACCUGGCCCUCAGGGACGAAAGCUAAGGUAGCG
Molecule: ribosomal RNA, 379 nt
Filed under: uncultured cyanobacterium
Lineage: Bacteria; Bacillati; Cyanobacteriota
Description: bacterial SSU rRNA
Rfam family: Bacterial small subunit ribosomal RNA
Source: RNAcentral